UCUGGUCGUGGAGGCUUUGCAUAAAAAUGCACAUAGCUGAGGCCGGGUGCGGUGGCUCACACCUGUCAUCCCAGCACUUUGGGAGAAUCAUGUGAACCCGGGACGCAGGGGUUGCAGUGAGCCGAGAUCGCAUCAUUGCACCCUAGCCUGGGCCACAGGGCGAGACUCCGUCUCAAAAAAAAAAAAUGCACAUAGCUAUGGAGUGGGCUUUAGCUUGAAAAGGUGACCUUGCAACUUCACGUCAACUUUUGGCUCCUCAAACAGUAGGUUGGCAAUAAGGCAGGGUCCCAUUUCUCACUGAGAAGAUUGUGAAUAUUUCCAGAUGGAUUUUCUAUUAUUGUUACUCUGAUCCUUUGUUUUAAAAUAAAAAUUCUGAAUGUACACG
Molecule: small RNA, 385 nt
Filed under: Pongo abelii (Sumatran orangutan)
Lineage: Eukaryota; Metazoa; Chordata; Mammalia; Primates; Hominidae
Description: processed transcript
Source: RNAcentral